AUGAGUUACUUACUGUCUGUCAACUCCUGGACAUCAUCAGACAUGGGUGCGCUUCACAUUGUUCUGGCUGUUCUCUUAGGACCGGUUUCAUGCAGUCAUGGUCAAAUGUUUGGAUCAGUGGUGGAGGUCACAGUCAAACCAGGAGACAACUUCACUCUCUACUGUGACUGCAAAGUGGCAACUGCAGUUUACAUAGUGUGGUUCAGGAACAGCUACAAUGACAAUCAGCCUACUCUCAUUAUGAAAACAUUUCAACGAAAGACCUACAACCCUGAUGAUUCCAAUUAUCUGAUGUUCAUCUCGAAUUUUCACUUUGUGAGGAAUUCAUCUUCAAACUCCUAUGACCUGCUAAUUAAGGACUUCACUGUUUCUAAUGAGGGUCUGUACUACUGUGGAACAGAAGAGAGCAAGGUGGAGGACGAAGAAUACAUAACCCAAAAAUUGAUUUACAAUUAUGGCAAUAUCACAAGACUCAUAUGUAACUCUAGUUCUCAUGAGGACAUCAACCAGAGUGUACCAGGCUGUAGUUUUUGCUGGAAGCAACUGUUUUCCCUUGUCCCUGUCCAGCUUUUGCUGUUCUAUCCGUAA
This 588-nucleotide long non-coding RNA is filed under the name Betta splendens (Siamese fighting fish). RNAcentral describes it as "lncRNA (ENSBSLG00000022668.1)". Lineage: Eukaryota; Metazoa; Chordata; Actinopteri; Anabantiformes; Osphronemidae. The record is from RNAcentral.